This 464-nucleotide ribosomal RNA is filed under the name Vreelandella stevensii. RNAcentral's name for it is "partial 16S ribosomal RNA". It matches the Rfam family "Bacterial small subunit ribosomal RNA", at positions 338 to 795 of the family's 1533-position model. The record is from RNAcentral. Lineage: Bacteria; Pseudomonadati; Pseudomonadota; Gammaproteobacteria; Oceanospirillales; Halomonadaceae.
CCUACGGGGGCAGCAGUGGGGAAUAUUGGAAAAUGGGCGAAAGCCUGAUCCAGCCAUGCCGCGUGUGUGAAGAAGGCCUUCGGGUUGUAAAGCACUUUCAGUGGGGAAGAAAGCCUUGGGGCUAAUACCCUCGAGGAAGGACAUCACCCACAGAAGAAGCACCGGCUAACUCCGUGCCAGCAGCCGCGGUAAUACGGAGGGUGCGAGCGUUAAUCGGAAUUACUGGGCGUAAAGCGCGCGUAGGCGGUCUGAUAAGCCGGUUGUGAAAGCCCCGGGCUCAACCUGGGAACGGCAUCCGGAACUGUCAGGCUAGAGUGCAGGAGAGGAAGGUAGAAUUCCCGGUGUAGCGGUGAAAUGCGUAGAGAUCGGGAGGAAUACCAGUGGCGAAGGCGGCCUUCUGGACUGACACUGACGCUGAGGUGCGAAAGCGUGGGUAGCAAACAGGAUUAGAUACCCUGGUAGUC